CAACGCUGUAUAGGGACUUUCUGACCUCCUGAUUUUCUACUGGAAUACGGAACAGCUUGGUUUCUUCAUGGAGUUUCUGUGAAGACUUUCAGAAGUCCACAAAGCUACACAAGCCUCAUACAAAGCCUAAUCCUUUCAAAAGAUCAGAAGAGGAUGAAUGCACUUCUUCCUACACUAUUACCAAUUCUCCUUCUCAAGGUGACCCAAGAGGCUAUGUCUCCAUCCUCCUCUACAGUUAGAGAAAAUGGUGGUCUUCUCUGAUAACCUGGCAUUUGGCAACAGCACUGCAGACUUCCAAGUCUGAAAAAAGCAGGAGGAGCUAAAGUGGUUAUCAAGACUUUCGCAAAGCACUGAAGAGAUUAUGGGGAAAUACGCUCACUAGUCCAAGAACAACUAUCUUCUUGGGAAUCUGCCGUACCUACAAACCUGCCACUAGAACAGCUGGAGAACAAAGUAUAUUUCAUAGCCUCUUUAAACUUUCUUCUCAAACUC
Long non-coding RNA from Rhea pennata, 492 nucleotides. RefSeq lists it as uncharacterized. The transcript is spliced from 4 exons. The record is from RefSeq and is a predicted model, not a curated record. NCBI's taxonomy places the organism in Eukaryota, Metazoa, Chordata, Aves, Rheiformes, Rheidae.